GCCUGGCUGGCUCAGUCAGUAGAGCAUGUGUCUCUUGAUCUUGAGUUGUGGGUUUGAGCCCCAUGUUGGGUG
RNAcentral lists this transfer RNA (72 nucleotides) under Canis lupus familiaris (dog). It matches the Rfam family "tRNA". Rfam says of the family: Transfer RNA (tRNA) molecules are approximately 80 nucleotides in length. Their secondary structure includes four short double-helical elements and three loops (D, anti-codon, and T loops). RNAcentral also lists the same sequence under 2 other names. The record is from Rfam by way of RNAcentral. Lineage: Eukaryota; Metazoa; Chordata; Mammalia; Carnivora; Canidae.